UGCGCAGGUGGGCUUGUAAGUCAGUGGUGAAAUCUUGCCGCUUAACGGUAAAAUUGCCAUUGAUACUGCAAGUCUUGAGUAUGGUUGAGGUAGGUGGAAUGUGUUGUGUAGCGGUGAAAUGCAUAGAUAUGACACAGAACGCCGAUUGCGAAGGCAACUUACUAAGCCAUUACUGACGCUGAGGCACGAAAGCGUGGGGAUCAAACAGGAUUAGAUACCCUGGUAGUCC
This 229-nucleotide ribosomal RNA is filed under the name uncultured bacterium. RNAcentral describes it as "partial 16S ribosomal RNA". It matches the Rfam family "Bacterial small subunit ribosomal RNA", at positions 568 to 796 of the family's 1533-position model. The record is from RNAcentral.